This 3713-nucleotide long non-coding RNA is filed under the name Sus scrofa (pig). RNAcentral's name for it is "lncRNA (ENSSSCG00060040026.1)". Lineage: Eukaryota; Metazoa; Chordata; Mammalia; Artiodactyla; Suidae. The record is from RNAcentral.
UGAGACUUUCAUCAUUCAUUCAUGAGACAACAUUUUGAGUUCUUACAGCAAGCCAAAAAUCAAGCUAAGAGCUAGGGAUUCAGAGAGUAGAACCCUGCCCUAAAGAGUCUCACGGUCUACAGUUGUAUAAAUGAGUAAUUACAGAUGGUACAAUAAUGCUGUAGGGGAGCUCACUACUCUGGGAGCCCUGAGGAAACUGGGACCGCAUAAGAGGUUUGAGAAGAAAGGCUUCCCAGCGAAAUGGUAUUUGAACUGAAUUUAAAGGAUGAGUAGGACGUAGGUUUUCACCUUAGGGAAAGGGUCGCAUUCUCAGGAGAAGCAGCAGCAUCCUUCUCUGGGGGAGUUUGAAAUGAGCUGCAAGACCUCUUCCUCUAAAAUACCAGAUGGGGGAGUUGCCGUCCUGGCUCAGCAGAAAUGAAUCUAACAUCCAUGAGGACUCAGGUUGCAUCCCUGGCCUCACUCAGUGGGUUAAGGAUCCGGCAUUGCCCUGAGCUAUGGUGUAAGUGGAUGAUGCGGUGCAGGCCAGUGGCUACAGCUUCGAUUUGACCCCUGGGAACCUCCAUAUGCCGAGGGUGUGCCCCUGACAAGAUAAAAAAAACAAACAAAUAAAAUACCAGAUUGGGAGUUCCUGCUGUGCCGCAGUGCAUUAAGAAUCCCACUGUAGCACCUUGGGCUGCUGUGGAGCUUCGGGUUGGUGCAGUGUGCUGCAGCAGCUGCUGUGGCUCAGGUGGACCUUCCAUAUGCCACGGGUGUGGCCUUAAAAAAAAAAGAAAGAAAAUAAAAAAAUACCAGAUCCCUGACAGGCGAUGACAGAUGUUUUACUUUAUAUCAACAGGAGAGAAUGUAAGGAAACAAUAAAAAAUUAUUUGUUCCUUUCCAUUUUGCCACAGAGGAGGUUAGCUACAGAAUUCUCGAUUGCCCCAAUUUCAUGUGGCGCUGUCUUAGGUAAGAGUGUAGGGUGAAGAGCCAGAAUAUCCAAAGCAGAGGCUGAGAAGGAAGGUGAGGGCCAACUGAGAGAGCCAAGCUCUUGGACACAAUUCUGCAGACAGCAGGGAGCCUUUUAAGUAGAGAAGUGUCAUGAUCACAUGCAUGUUUUAUAAAGAUAACUGUUGGCAGGAUGGCAGGAUGAGUUGGCCAUGGGGCUAGAGAGACCAGAGACAAGACACUCACCUUGGUGAUAAUUGUAGUCAAAUCUAAAUGUGAUUCAUAUCAUCCAUCCACGGGCUACUGGAAUUUAUUUCAUAUUGGUGCCUGAGAAAUACACCUUGGCAACGGAGAAUGCAGCCCCUGAAAAUGAAUCAUUGGCUGAGUCUAGACCUAGAUCACUGUAGUACUUAUGCGCUCCAAAGACAGGGUGCCCAGAGAUCAAUCCUGGGUCUGCUGCUUCCUCAGUGAGCUAUUAAAAAUUACUGCAUCUCUGCCAGCCUCAAUGUCCUUCUCUGUAAAAUGGGUUAAUGCCUAGUUCCUCGGAAUAUCAUAAGUACUUACCAAGAUAAUCCUUUAAAAGUUCUUAUACCAGACCAUUGUACCUAUCCAGUGACUGUUAGUUAUCUUUGUUACUUUUAUCUUAGUCUUGAUCUUCUUUGAGAGAAAGCUAUUUAAACAAUGGAGACAGCAUAUUAAUUAUCUUUGGCUUUAUCAUGAUGCCCAGUAAACUGUCAAUAAAUUUUUGAAUGUUAAUGUCUCAAUAAGGUACCUUUGUAUUGUAGCAGAAGAUUGGGUCCCACCCACAAAAUGAAGCAUUCUGCAUACAUUCUUACAAGAACCCUACAAAGUGGACACCAUUGUCCUUAUUUUACAGGUGAGAAUCUGGGAAGUUUAGGAAAUGUGUCAAGGCUUGGCUGGGCCAGAAUUUCAGCCCAUAUCUGCUUGCCUCCAAAGUGUGCUUUCCCAGGUUGCCAUUCUGCUGUUCAAGAACUUAUGGUUCUUUUAUACUUGUGAAGCAGGUUCACAAACCUUGAACAGUAUGUGACUGAUUCAUGGUUUUUCCUUGGUGGAUCUCUUUAGACCCACCCAUUCAGUGCGAUUAACAAUUCUUUAUUUUUUUUUCCCCAUAGCUUUUUCUCUUCAGAUUCUCCUUAUCUUCCCCAUAUUUUGCUUCACAAAUCUUAUAUGGAGAAUGCCUGGGAUUUAAAAUCCAGAAAGCCAUGAUGAGUCAAAAGUGGGAGACAGUCAACUGUGAAUCUAAUUCUGUGACUUUUCUCCCCCUUGGAAUAGCUAUUUUCUUAGCUGUACAACAGGGGUGGCUGCACGUUGGCCCCUAAAAUCUGCCCCUCAUUCUUUAGGGGCAAGUUGUGAGAGAUCUGGAGUGCCUGAGAGUGGGAUCCAUACUACAUUAUUAAUUCACCCUGAUAUCUAGUAUUUCCCUUUGAAGACCACUCCAAAUUUCUAGAAGUAGAAGUUAAUUUACCAUCUGACCAUAAACCCUGGGAAUAGGCAGGAAAAUAUGCCUGGCUCCUUGCAACCACCAGAUAAACCAUGCACCUUACUGCAGUAUCAUUUUUUCCUAGUGGUAAAUAAUUUAAAUCAUUCUGAAAAGUUAAAUACAAAUACAUUAAGAAGUCAAUGCCAAAUUCACAUGAUUUUUUUUUAGCUAUGGUUUCAGUGUCUAAGAAUUUCACGUCUGAGGCAGGCCAGUCUGCUACUCCCCCUUCACAUAAGGAAUAUGUUCUCCUCUGCUCCUUAGGAUGAAAAAGUAGAGGAAACCCUGCCAAUAUCCAAGGUUUUAUUCUUAGAUCCAGUCAGAGCAUCAGAACACCAACUGUUGUGCAUGCAUAUCUUACAUUGUUUUGACUUAGAGGACCCCUUGUCUUCUCAAAUUGCUUGCAAUAGUGCUUUCAGUGGAUUGCAUUUUGGUAUCAUGUCCUGGGGAAGUUUUAUUCAUUCAUUCAUUCAUUCAUUCCAGCCGCGCCUGCGGCAUAUGGAAGUUCCCGGGGUAGGGGUCGAAUUGGAGCUGCAGCUGCCAUCCUACACCCCAGUGGCAACCCUGGAUCCUUACUCCGCUAAGCAAGGCCAGGGAUGGAACCUGCAUCUUCAUGGACACUAUUUUGAGUUUUUAACCCAUUGAGCCACAGAGGGAGCUCCCAGAGCGUUAUAAAGUAUGGUCUUACCAUUGAUCACCUAGAUCAGAAUCACCAUAGGAGUAUGUUUAGAAUUCAGACACAAGAUAGCUCUUCUACACUUAGUCAUACUUCUCAACUUCAUGUGCAUAUGAAUCACCUGGAAAUCUUACGAAACUAAGAUUCUGAUGCCUUCUGGAGUGGGGCCUGAGAUCUUGUUCUUCUUAAGCCACGCCAAUAGUGCUGUCAUAAAGACCACACUUGGAGGAGCAAAGACCCAGAGAAUCCAAACUUGGGGUGAUGGGCAUGUGCCCAGGUGAUUCUUAAGCUCGAGAAUCUUUGACCAAGGCCCAAGGGAUAGUAAAUGACUACUCUUAUAAAAGGCGUACUGGAGUACCCCCUGUGGCACAGCUGAAAUGAAUCCAACUAGUAUCUGUAAGGACGUGGGUUCAAUCCUCAGCCUUGCUCAGUGGGUCGGGGAUCUGGCAUUGCCGUGAGCUAUGGUAUAGGUUAAAGAUGUGGCUUGGAUCCUGUGUUGCUGUGGCUGUGGCUGUGGCCGGCAGCUGUAGCUCAGAUUUAAUCCCUAGCCUGGGAACCUCCAUAUACCUCAGGUGCAGCCCUAAAUAGCAAAAAAAAAAAAAAAAAAAAAAAAAG